Molecule: ribosomal RNA, 482 nt
Filed under: uncultured bacterium
Lineage: Bacteria
Description: partial 16S ribosomal RNA
Rfam family: Bacterial small subunit ribosomal RNA
Source: RNAcentral
AUUGAACGCUGGCGGCAUGCCUUACACAUGCAAGUCGAACGGUAACAGGUCUUCGGAUGCUGACGAGUGGCGAACGGGUGAGUAAUACAUCGGAACGUGCCCGAUCGUGGGGGAUAACGAAGCGAAAGCUUUGCUAAUACCGCAUACGAUCUACGGAUGAAAGCAGGGGACCGCAAGGCCUUGCGCGAACGGAGCGGCCGAUGGCAGAUUAGGUAGGUGGUGGGAUAAAAGCUUACCAAGCCGACGAUCUGUAGCUGGUCUGAGAGGACGACCAGCCACACUGGGACUGAGACACGGCCCAGACUCCUACGGGAGGCAGCAGUGGGGAAUUUUGGACAAUGGGCGAAAGCCUGAUCCAGCCAUGCCGCGUGCAGGAUGAAGGCCUUCGGGUUGUAAACUGCUUUUGUACGGAACGAAAAGACUCUGGUUAAUACCUGGGGUCCAUGACGGUACCGUAAGAAUAAGCACCGGCUAACUACGUG